CAUCCAGACUCCUACGGGAGGCAGCAGUGGGGGAUAUUGCACAAUGGGGGAAACCCUGAUGCAGCGACGCCGCGUGGGUGAAGAAGCGCCUCGGCGCGUAAAGCCCUGUCAGCAGGGAAGAAAAUGACGGUACCUGAAGAAGAAGCCCCGGCUAACUACGUGCCAGCAGCCGCGGUAAUACGUAGGGGGCAAGCGUUAUCCGGAUUUACUGGGUGUAAAGGGAGCGUAGACGGCCAUGCAAGCCUGGAGUGAAAGCCCGGGGCCCAACCCCGGGACUGCUCUGGGAACUGUGCGGCUGGAGUGCGGGAGGGGCAGGCGGAAUUCCUGGUGUAGCGGUGAAAUGCGUAGAUAUCAGGAGGAGCACCGGCGGCGAAGGCGGCCUGCUGGACCGCGACUGACGUUGAGGCUCGAAAGCGUGGGGAGCAAACAGGAUUAGAUACCCCUGUAUGG
This 450-nucleotide ribosomal RNA is filed under the name uncultured bacterium. Its description in RNAcentral is "bacterial SSU rRNA". It matches the Rfam family "Bacterial small subunit ribosomal RNA", at positions 328 to 793 of the family's 1533-position model. The record is from RNAcentral.